Molecule: transfer RNA, 72 nt
Filed under: Marmota marmota marmota (Alpine marmot)
Lineage: Eukaryota; Metazoa; Chordata; Mammalia; Rodentia; Sciuridae
Also listed under: 1 other name
Rfam family: tRNA
About the family: Transfer RNA (tRNA) molecules are approximately 80 nucleotides in length.
Source: Rfam by way of RNAcentral
AGUCUCAUGGUGUAAUGGCUAGCACUCUGGACUUUGAAUCCAGCAAUCUAAGUCCAAAUCUCGGUGGGACUA